Molecule: ribosomal RNA, 292 nt
Filed under: uncultured bacterium
Lineage: Bacteria
Description: partial 16S ribosomal RNA
Rfam family: Bacterial small subunit ribosomal RNA
Source: RNAcentral
GUGUCAGCAGCCGCGGUAAGACGAAGGUGGCUAGCGUUGCUCGGAUUUACUGGGCAUAAAGCGCGCGUAGGUGGUCGUGUAAGCGGGGGAUGAAAGCCCAUGGCUCACCCAUGGAACUGUCCCCCGGACUGCACGGCUCGAGGAAGGAAGGGGAGAAUGGAAUUCCCGGUGUAGCGGUGAAAUGCGUAGAUAUCGGGAGGAACGCCGGUGGCGAAAGCGAUUCUCUGGUCCUUUCCUGACACUGAGGCGCGAAAGCUAGGGGAGCAAACAGGAUUAGAUACCCCCGUAGUCC